AUGAUGCCAUCGCAGCAGGAGGAGAUGUUCAGGACUGAAUCCUCACUGGUCUCGUCGCUCCACGACACCAUGGCACCGGGGAGCAGCAGAACGGCGGUCGACGGUCUGGCGGCGCCGGGGAGGAAGAACAGAGUCCUGGAGCUUGCUGGCAACGCGGCCAAGGACAACAAGAAGACUCGCAUCAUCCCGCGCCACCUGUUGCUCGCCGUCCGCAACGACCAGGAGCGCGGCAGGCUGCUCGCCGGCGUCACCAUCGCCCAUGGCAGGCUGCUCGCCGGUGUGAUCCCCAACAUCAACUCCGUGCUACUCCCCAAGAAGUCCCCCGCCGCCGCCAAGAAGGAGGCCAAGUCGCCCAAGAAGAAGACCGCCACCAAGUCCCCCAAGAAGAAGGUCACCGCCACCAAGGAGUAG
This 411-nucleotide ribosomal RNA is filed under the name Triticum aestivum (bread wheat). Its description in RNAcentral is "partial small subunit ribosomal RNA". Lineage: Eukaryota; Viridiplantae; Streptophyta; Magnoliopsida; Poales; Poaceae. The record is from RNAcentral.